Long non-coding RNA from Mus musculus (house mouse), 1971 nucleotides. RefSeq annotates it as predicted gene, 30928. The record is from RefSeq and is a predicted model, not a curated record. NCBI's taxonomy places the organism in Eukaryota, Metazoa, Chordata, Mammalia, Rodentia, Muridae. The transcript has 4 exons.
CCCUUCCCUCCAGCUUAUAGCCUGUUAGAGAAAUAUGCAGAAUCUCCCUUCAGGGAGGUCACAGCUGAGGUCAAGGCCACUUAUUAUUGCAAAGGUACUUGGAAUUGUACUUUUGAAUCUGGCCCCAUAGCAACCUCAAAUAAAAACAGAAUUCUGUAACUAAGGAGGAAGCACUCAGGCCAAAGAGAGGGCAACCUCAGGCUGCCUGUUGCGGCUGCCAUUCUGAGCACGGGACACCUUCAUGGCCCUUUUCACUGCUGGCUCUCUCCGAUCAGACCAUCCCACAGUAGCCUCAGGAAUCCGAUAGCCAGUUCUACUGUGGAAGCCGGCUUCAGACCCCAUCUGUCUUGCUGUCCCCAGAGACUGUCUAUCUGUUGCCCACAUACAUUCCAGAGCAAGUGAACACCAAGGGUUUAAAUGUGGGCACAUUUUCUACUGCAAGGAAGGAAAGACGAGUAAAGGAGAUAAACCCUGAGCUGCAGCCCGCCCGACGUCUGCCUUCUUGCAAGGAACCUGUGGAACCGGACUCCCUCGUAUCCUGGGAAGGAGCACCACACAGGAAAGGGGCUGUGCAUUUCAACUAGUUCUACCCCCAGCUGUUAAGACACCGGGCAAGACGCCCAGGGAAACAAGGUUUUGCCUGUAAACUGAAAAGAAGAGCGUCGGGAGGAAAUACCAGGAUGCCAAACUUGUGGUUACACUAAUAAAAUCAUUGAAAGAUGGCAAACGGUACCCAGCAUCUGGGCCUAUGGCAUCCGGGACUGGAGGGGGCUGCUCUGUGCAUCCUGGAGGUUUUGCCCUCACCUGCAUCAGCCACAAGGCUGAGGAAGGCUUGAGAACCUUGUGGAAUUAUCUGUGGUAUCUUGAGGUACGCACUUUUGACCAUCGAGACAAAGUGGCCAUUUUCCCAGCUUGCUCAGAAACUCAAGCAUAGACAGGUUUCUAGAUAAAUGGUUGAACUGGGGGCCCUUCUGAGAAUCUAGGACUGCUUUUCAUUUCUCAAAAGAACAUGCACAGAAUGGUGGGCAGGGAGAGCAGCCUCAAAACACAGCCUGGACCCCAGUUUCAGUCCUGUCCCAGAAGCAUUGUUUCUUUUUUGCUGCAGACUAGGAACUAAAUGCGGGUGUAUAGGCAGGGUCAUACUCGACCCUCACAAAAACUUACAAGGUAGUGUUAGCAAAUAUUAUAGGUCUGGGGUCAUUCAGAGAUUCACCAGCCUAUUAAUAAAUUUGAUCAAAGAAGAGGCUUUUUAUUCAGACACGGGUACCAGUUCUGCCCUGGAGAACAGAGACUCAGGAUUUCUGAAUGCAGCGCCCAGCCACUCCAGUGAGGGUUUGUAAAGGCAAAGAAUACAAAGUUACCAUUGCGCUGGUGCAGCAGAAGGGUCCUCUUUACAGAAGCAGAAACAGCCAUAAAAAACAAUGUAACCCUUAACAGCCUUAAUGUUUGGAGGCCUAGUCUUGCUUUAUAGUUCUGUUAAGUACAGAGAUGUUUAACUUUUAAACAUAAAGUUAGCCAUUGAUGUUACUUUACCUACCCUAUCUCCCGUCCAGUUAUACUCUGAGUCAAAUCAAUCCUUGACUCUGUGUUGGGUACCUGUUCAUAUUGAGACUUAAUUACCACCAGUUUAAUAGCUCAUAAGUAGGAAUUUACAUAUCUUGCCUUAGCAUUAAUGAUGCAGGGGCCAACUAUAAUCAGCAGGCAUAGGAGAGCUAAGUUGGUUGACAGCAAGAAGAACCCAAGAAAGAAUUUCCUCUCUGUGAGAUGUUUUCGAAUUUCAGCCAAAUUAUCCUGAUAUCCCUGAGUGGUUUGCAUAGAAGCGGAUGAUUUCCCCCAAGGCUACAGUGACCUCCUUGUUCUGCACAAAGCAGGUUAAACACCCUACCAUGUUGUAAGACUACCUCAGCCAAGAGUCAACGAUUCUGUUAAUUUUGCAAUGGACUUUUCUCAUGCAAAUAAAUUUUAUAAAAU